GCGGGAUGCCUCAGUAACGGCGAGUGAGCGGCAAAAGCUCAAAUUUGAAAUCUAGCACCUUCGGUGUUCGAGUUGUAAUUUGAAGAUGGUAACCUUGGGUUUGGCUCUUGUCUAUGUUCCUUGGAACAGGACGUCAUAGAGGGUGAGAAUCCCGUCUGAUGAGAUGCCCAUUCCUAUGUAAGGUGCUAUCGAAGAGUCGAGUUGUUUGGGAAUGCAGCUCUAAGUGGGUGGUAAAUUCCAUCUAAAGCUAAAUAUUGGCGAGAGACCGAUAGCGAACAAGUACAGUGAUGGAAAGAUGAAAAGAACUUUGAAAAGAGAGUGAAAAAGUACGUGAAAUUGUUGAAAGGGAAGGGCAUUAGAUCAGACUUGGUGUUUUACGAUUAUCUUCUCUUCUUGAGUUGUGCACUCGUAUUUCACUGGGCCAGCAUCGAUUCGGAUGGCAAGAUAAUGGCAGUUGAAUGUGGCUUCACUUCGGUGGAGUGUUAUAGCUUCUGCUGAUAUUGCCUGUCUGGAUCGAGGGCUGCGUCUUUUGACUAGGAUGCUGGCGUAAUGAUCUAAUGCCGCCCGUCUU
This 571-nucleotide ribosomal RNA is filed under the name Hansenula anomala. Its description in RNAcentral is "eukaryotic LSU rRNA". It matches the Rfam family "Eukaryotic large subunit ribosomal RNA", at positions 70 to 655 of the family's 3401-position model. Lineage: Eukaryota; Fungi; Ascomycota; Saccharomycetes; Phaffomycetales; Wickerhamomycetaceae. The record is from RNAcentral.